This 83-nucleotide transfer RNA is filed under the name Pseudolabrys taiwanensis. RNAcentral describes it as "tRNA-OTHER". The record is from RNAcentral. Lineage: Bacteria; Pseudomonadati; Pseudomonadota; Alphaproteobacteria; Hyphomicrobiales; Xanthobacteraceae.
GCGAUAUAAAAUCCUAAGCGGCAAAGGAACGAAAAUCCGUCGGGCGUAAGCCCGUGCCGGUUCGAGUCCGGCCGCCCGCACCA